UUGGCUUGGACGCUUUCAGUCUUAAAAGGGAGCCAAGUUUUUUCUCCCUCAAAUACAGUUGCAGAGUUUGUUAGAGCCCAGAGGUUAUUGGGCAGAAUCUCUGGUAACAGCUGCAGGCUGCACAAAGCAGCCAUAGGACACUACCUUUCUUCCCUGGAGUAUUCAGCACUGGUGGACGGAGGAACCGACACCAAACACACCGUCACUGGAUGGAGGGGCAACAGAGGAGUCACCCUGAAUGAACCAACAAUUGGGGGCUACAACAAGCCCUUCACUCUUCAUUCCUGAUCUCCCCAGUACUGGGAGCUACUGGGUGUUAUUCUUGUUGAGCCAGAGCAGAGGAGAAGGUCAUUUGCAAUACUCUGCAAAACAUUUUUCCAGCCUUAGGCUCCUUCAGACUACAGCAUGUCUACGAGGGAUGCACAGAGCCAUUAUGGAGCACAUGCCACUAUUGCACCACAUGCUUUCCCUGCCAGAGCAGAAAAUUUCUAAAUUUGGCUUCCUCCCAGGAAGCAAAUUCCUCUCCAUACACACCCAGACUGAUUUCUCACAGAUGAGCACGCUGCCCACUAAAAUCUGAAGUGGGCUGCAUCCACAGGGUGCUGAGGACCCACCCUGGCAGGGCACUGCUGUGGCAGGAGCAGCCAGCUGCACUGAGUAGAGAGGAGCUCCUGGUUUAUCUGAAAGUGGCAAUACUGAGAAAGAAGCUCUAACGUGAAAAAGCAAGUUUAAAUUUUUGAUAGUUUCAGAUCAACUAGAAUCCGAAAAUGACAAUGUAACGUAGUUUUAAUAAUCAAAGCAUGGACCAAUCAAGCUGCACAAAGAGCUCCACCAGGAAAAAAAUCCACAACGUGACAUAAAGGAAGAACUGAAAAGAAAUGGUGGUUUCCAGGAUUAUGAGUAGCAUCUUCAGGGUAUCAUCUGGACAUUGCUCCUCAGACUUGACAGCAUGAGGCAACAUUGGCUGUGGCUAAGAAAUCGGAGAUUCAUGUUCUGUUUACCCCCCUCUUUCUGAAUGCAAACACAUGUUCUGUCUUUCCAAUAAUGAUGGACAACACAUGCACUGAGUAGGUACAUUGAAAGUCAUCUGUUAAUUGCAGAUACAUGUAAAUGACCACACAGCAAGCUUUCCCAGGGAGACAGGACUGGAAAAAAGGAAGACAGCUACACUAAGAUUAGAUACUGUGAAAAAAACUCCAAGAGCAUAAUCAAACAAAGUUGAUUCAUGUACUUUUUUCCUAAUUCAAUAUAACUAUUACAAUACUAUUUCAGAUAAUUCCAGAAUGUUAAAGAGUGAUGAGUGGUUUUUUUUUUUUUUCAGUCCAUUACAGAUAGCACUUG
Molecule: long non-coding RNA, 1341 nt
Organism: Cyanistes caeruleus (blue tit)
Lineage: Eukaryota; Metazoa; Chordata; Aves; Passeriformes; Paridae
Source: RefSeq, a predicted model, not a curated record